Molecule: ribosomal RNA, 497 nt
Filed under: uncultured bacterium
Lineage: Bacteria
Description: partial 16S ribosomal RNA
Rfam family: Bacterial small subunit ribosomal RNA
Source: RNAcentral
GAUGAACGCUGGCGGCGUGCCUAAUACAUGCAAGUCGAGCGAACAGACGCGGAGCUUGCUCCUCUGACGUUAGCGGCGGAGGGGUGUGUAACACGUGUAUAACCCCCCUAUAAGACGGGGAAAACCUCGGGAAUCCGGAGCAAAUACCGUAUAAUAUCUUGCACCGCAUGGUUCAAUGGUGAAAGUCGGUUUUGCUGUCACUUCUAGAUGCAUACGCGCCGCAUUGGCUAGUUGGUAAGUUAACAGCUUAUCACGGCGAGGAUGCGUAGCCGAACUGAGAGGGGGGUCGCCCGCCCGAGAACUGGGACACGGACCAGGCGACUACGGUAGGCAGCAGUCGGGAAUCUUCGGCAGUGGGCGAAAACAUGACGCAGCGGCGCCGCGUGAGAGGUAGAGGUCUUCGGAUCGUAAAACUCUGUUAUUAGGGGAGAACAAAUGUGUAAGUAAAUAAGCACGUAUUGACGGUACCUGAUCAGAAAGCAACGGCUAACUACGUG